Molecule: long non-coding RNA, 3132 nt
Organism: Scylla paramamosain (green mud crab)
Lineage: Eukaryota; Metazoa; Arthropoda; Malacostraca; Decapoda; Portunidae
Exons: 2
Source: RefSeq, a predicted model, not a curated record
GAAGAUCAAGAUCAAGAAUAAUCAUCUGUCAGUUAAGGUGGGACUGAAUGAAUGGAAGAAUGAAAUGGAAAGAAAGAAGACCCUGGAAUGGUACAAGGAGAAAGAGGCGCCGAGAUAUGAAAGGUGGUAUGAUGGAAGCCUGGGCGGUGAUCUUCUCUUCCGAGCGAGGGCACAGUGUACGAGUAUGGAUGUAAAUGCAAGGAGUUACAGGUGGUCUGAGUCUCGCAGCAAAGUGUGCCAGAUGUGUGACAUGGGAGAGGAUGAGACGGUGGAACAUGUGGUGCUGGAGUGUGUGAAGUAUGCCAGAGACAGGAAUGAGAUGAUGCAAGUGAUACUGACUGAGUUAGGGCAUGAUAGGAAUGAAAGAGUGGAGAAGACGGGAAAGGAGUGGAUGGUGUUGCUGGGACUGUGUAGAGAGGCGAAUGAAAGGAUGAUUGAGGCGGUGAAAGAGUUUCUGGAGAGAAUAUGGCGUGCCAGGUGUAUGAGCAAUUAGGAUAGAGGAUGCUGUUCGUUUCUCUUUUUUUUUUUUUCCCCCUUCUACAGGAGUUGCCGAUCCAAGGGCCUGGCUCAGGAGUGAUCCUGUGCCACCUGUACCAUCAAGAUCAAGAUCAAGGUGAAAGGUGGUAUGAUGCAAGGUCUAUAUACUGGUGUACAUAGAUCUUGGUAUGAUGGAAGCCUGGACGGUGAUCUCUUCCGAGCGAGGGCACAGUGUAUGGAUGUGAAUGCAAGGAGUUACAGAUGGUCUUCAGUCCCGCAGCAAAGUGUGCCAGAUGUGUGGCAUGGGAGAGGAUGAGACGGUGGAACGUAUGGUGCUGGAGUGUGAGAGAUGAGUGAGACAGGAGAGAGAUUAUGCAUGUGGUUCUGACUGAGUUAGGGCAUGACAGGAAUGAAAGGGUGGAGAAGACAGGAAAGGAGUGGAUAGUGUUGUUGCUGGGACUGUGUAGAGAGGCGAAUGAAAGGAUGAUUGAGGCGGUGAAAGAGUUUCUGGAAAGAAUGUGGCGUGCUAGAUGUAGGAAAAAUUAGUGUAGAGGAUGCUGUUCGUUUCUCUCCUUUUUUUCCCCCUUCUACAGGAGUUGUCGAUCCAAAGACCUAGCUCAGUAGUCCCGAGCCACCUGUAUCAUCAAGAUCAAGAUCAACAUAAGAUCAAGAUCAAAAAGAUUUAUUUCAGGGAGGGAGAGGAAGCACGUGGUGCUUCGGGAGUUUUCAUUUUGCAGAAAUUAGAAAAUCUGGUAUUAAUUUCAAGAUGACUCAAGGAAACGAACAGACUGCCACCUUGAAUUUAGUGAAGACAAGACAUGUUGCUCCUGAAGACUGUUGGUGAAUUAUAUCUCCAUCUAUAUGUGGUAAAAAGGGAGAUCAAUAGGUCACUCCAGUAUUAAUCCAAAGCCAUAAUAAUAAUUAGGUUUAAGUGAAAACAGUUCAUAAUACUACUCAGUAUGUAAGAAACUGAUGAAUCCAUUGCAGUUUCAAAAUCAACAAUAUUUCAAAAUGUUAUCUUUAAUAGAAUAUUGACCAAUUAUACUUCAAUUUUCUAUAAAUGUUACUCUUAAUAGCUGGUACAAUGUAUCCAUAUUUUAAGGUUAUCAGAUGAAAUACCUUCUUCAAUCAUCAUCACUGUCAUGGUAAAUGGUGAGGUAACAAGAAGUUGAAGCCAUAGUGUGACCAUCGUGACUUAAAGAUCUAAUUGCAGCUUAACUCAUUUUCACUAAGUAUCCAGGCAUGAGCUUCCAGUUAAUUAACUCUAAUGCAGGGAAGGAGCUGUCUUUAUUUUAUUUCAUUUUUUUUUCUUUUUCCCUCCCUGUAGUGCCUUUUCAGAUUUUUUUGUGAAGAUUAGUCAUUAGCAGUUCACUAUUUAUAAUGCAUUCACAUUUCCUCUUUACUCAUCCUUUUCAGGAACAAGAUCUAAUUUUCCUCUUGUGAAUGUGAUAAUAACUUUUCAGGUCAUAUCUUAUUCGAGGUGUGCUGUGGCAGAAGGGUACCAUAUGGCAAAAUCAAUAUUUGCAAGAAAACACCCUUAAAGAUUGGUAAUGUUUGGGAAUAAUUAACUCAAGAACUGUUUGAGUUAGAAUGGCUUUGUAUAUCAAAUGAAAGUUGAGUUCCUUAGCUUUCAUUUUGAUGUAACGAGAAAUAUAAUCACAAAUUAUUAUCAUAAUUGGUACCGUUCUCUCUCUCUCUCUCUCUCUCUCUCUCUCUCUCUCUCUCUCUCUCUCUCUCUCUCUCUCUCUCUCUCUCUCUCUCUCUCUCUCUCUCUCUCUCUCUCUCUCUCUCUCUCUCUCUCUCUCUCUCUCUCUCUCUCUUAGUGCUUGGGAGAGUGUGGGUGGGGCAGGACACAGAGAGAUCAAAGACCUUACAGGAUCAGAAUGCCUGUCCUUUCUGCAGGCUGACCUCCAUGAUGUUCUUAUUGUCAGUCUUGUAGUCUAACUUGAGUAGGUAGCCCUCUUGGAAAGCCAAAUGCAGGAGGAUUUUGUGGCUGUUUUUAAAUAUGCUGCCUGGCACACUAUGUUUAGCAAUGUACUUGGAGAGCGUUGAAACUGAAGAACGGGGUCAUCUUGAUGAUAGGGAAACCAACUGCUACUACACUCUUGAUGAUGUUGAUGUAAUCAUCAGGCGUAUAGAUGACCACCCAGUUUGUUAUCUUACACUUGAUGUUGCCAAAUGCCCUGUCACAGGCCAUGUAUCUGUGCCUAGGUACCAGGUAGACAUAGUUGCAAACAAGUGUUUAGAGUGAAGUUGUCUCAGGUACAUCAGGACCAGAUUGAUGUUUUUGUUCUGUCCUGCACAGUUGUUGCUGAUGACAAUGAGCUGCCCAAAGUCACCCUAAAUCCAUAAAGAGUGAGUGUCAUGAAUUUCUGCUCGCUUGGAGGACAGUGGGGUAUGGGAAUUCCCACCUUCUCUCCUGCCAAGAUUUGUACUUCUGUGACAUAGUUAUUGUGUCUGGUGGCUGAUGGCAACCCUUGUCCUUUGUUUCCCUUGAGUCCCAGUGCACAACUAACAAUAGAAAUGGAGGGACACGUUGACAACUAUUUCCCUGUGUCCUGAUGUGUGAAUGAAUAGAGCGUGACUAGGAUUCCCUGUACCUCCAAUCCUAUUAUUGGGAAGUGUACUGAGUCUACCAAUAAAACAUCAUUGAAU